Molecule: ribosomal RNA, 483 nt
Filed under: uncultured bacterium
Lineage: Bacteria
Description: partial 16S ribosomal RNA
Rfam family: Bacterial small subunit ribosomal RNA
Source: RNAcentral
UUGCACGCUAGCGGGAUGCUUUACACAUGCAAGUCGAACGGCAGCGCGGACUUCGGUCUGGCGGCGAGUGGCGAACGGGUGAGUAAUGUAUCGGAACGUGCCCAGUAGCGGGGGAUAACUACGCGAAAGCGUAGCUAAUACCGCAUACGCCCUACGGGGGAAAGCAGGGGAUCGUAAGACCUUGCACUAUUGGAGCGGCCGAUAUCGGAUUAGCUAGUUGGUGAGGUAACGGCUCACCAAGGCGACGAUCCGUAGCUGGUUUGAGAGGACGACCAGCCACACUGGGACUGAGACACGGCCCAGACUCCUACGGGAGGCAGCAGUGGGGAAUUUUGGACAAUGGGGGCAACCCUGAUCCAGCCAUCCCGCGUGUGCGAUGAAGGCCUUCGGGUUGUAAAGCACUUUUGGCAGGAAAGAAACGUCGCGGGCUAAUACCCCGUGGAACUGACGGUACCUGCAGAAUAAGCACCGGCUAACUACGUG